This is a non-coding RNA of Podarcis lilfordi (Lilford's wall lizard), 73 nucleotides long. Lineage: Eukaryota; Metazoa; Chordata; Lepidosauria; Squamata; Lacertidae. The record is from the annotation of a GenBank genome assembly.
GCUUAGCUCAGCUGGUAGAGCAUGAGACUGUUAAUCUCAGGGCUGUGGGUUCAAUCGUCUUCUUUGGCUAGCA